Molecule: small nucleolar RNA, 115 nt
Filed under: Sus scrofa (pig)
Lineage: Eukaryota; Metazoa; Chordata; Mammalia; Artiodactyla; Suidae
Description: Small nucleolar RNA U3
Rfam family: Small nucleolar RNA U3 (bases 1-74)
About the family: Small nucleolar RNAs (snoRNAs) are involved in the processing and modification of rRNA in the nucleolus. There are two main classes of snoRNAs: the box C/D class, and the box H/ACA class.
Source: Rfam by way of RNAcentral
AAGCCUAUACUUCCGGGGAUCAUUUCUAUAGUUUGUGACCUAGAAUAAAGGUAGAAAACUGCCUGAUCCAAGGAAUAAAUACCUUCAUACCCAUUUCUUACUCAAGCUCUCCUGG